UAUUUAUUUACACCACUAACCGCCCGGGAAUUACGAGCCCAAGCUUAAAACCCAAAGGACUUGACGGUGUCCCACCCACCUAGAGGAGCCUGUUCUAUAAUCGAUUCCCCCCGAUCUACCUCACCACUUCUAGCCUCUCAGCCUGUAUACCUCCGUCGUAAGCUUACCAUAUGAACGAUUUCCAGUGAGCUAAAAGAUUCUACAUAAAUACGUCAGGUCAAGGUGCAGCCCACGAUGUGGAAAGAAAUGGGCUACAAUUUCUAUAAUAGAACAUAACGAAAGACUACAUGCAACUCAGUCAUGAAGGCGGAUUUAGUAGUAAAAAGAAAGUAGAGAGUUCUUUUUAAUUAGGCGCUGGGACGCGUACACACCGCCCG
This 377-nucleotide ribosomal RNA is filed under the name Microhyla mixtura. RNAcentral's name for it is "partial small subunit ribosomal RNA". It matches the Rfam family "Bacterial small subunit ribosomal RNA", at positions 848 to 1396 of the family's 1533-position model. Lineage: Eukaryota; Metazoa; Chordata; Amphibia; Anura; Microhylidae. The record is from RNAcentral.